UCACCGACCGCUACUCCCACGGCUGCCACCGCUGCUCUGCUGCUUGCCUCUCCAUCCGCUGCCUUGUCCGCCCGUGGCGUCCGUCGGGCUUCUUCUCCGCUGCGUCUUCUCCCCCGGCCCUCAAGAGGGAGAGGGGAAGAUGUCUUCUUGGGACGACGAUGACUCCACGUCGUCGACAAAGGAUGCGGCGACCACGGACGUGGAGCUGCUGAAGCACGCGUGGCGCAACGAGCAGGCGGUGUCGGAUAUUUUCUGCUUCGACUCCCUCCUUGUCUCCCGCAUCCGCGAGCAGAUCUAGCUGCUCGUACGUCCAUUAAUUCUUCUCGCCGUCCCCGCUCCUCUCUCGAUUUUUUGCCGUAAUCGAUCAAUCAUUGGUGUUUGAUGCGAGCACGCCCUCGUUUGUGAUGUGACCAGGAGGAGACGCUGGACAACUUCGUGGACAGCGGCGUCGAUGACCUGGUGGUCUCGCUCUACCAGAUGUUCCUUGACCUCACACGCUCUUCCUCCUCCGCUCGUACCUCUGCCUCCAGCUACAAAAGAUCGAGAAGUACACGGUGCAUAUCUCCAGGUCCGACGACCUCAUGAGUCGGCUGUUGCAGCGUACAGCGGCGGUUCGCCAAAGAGGUAUCAUCUGCGCUGCUGGGCUGUUUGCCCCAAUUGUUUGUGCUAGCUUCUGAACUUUGGUGGUUCUGACGGGAACACAUUUCUUGUGUUUGUACUGUUGCAAGUUCUUGGCUGUAGAUCAAGAAGUACACGAUGCACAUCUCCAGGUCUUAUGACCUCCUGAGCCGGCUGUCGCAUCAAGAGCGGCAGUUCGCCAAGAGUUGUGCGGAUAUCAUGGAGAAGCAUAUGGAUCAUUCAGUGUUGUCGAAGCUGUCGUACGGGUAUGACUCACUGACCAGGCAGUCAUUGUCGAGCUCUGAGGAUGAUAUGGGUAUACCCUUUACUUGAUCUUCCAAAUUCCGGUGUUCCUUUUGCACUGCUAUGCUGCUUUUGUUGUUUGCAGCUUUAGUCAUAUUACAUAUUUGCACAGGCUGCUGAAUGUGAAUGGUUGGUAGAAAGUUUCACCAUUUCAUUCAAGUGAUAUGUAUUUUUGGGGACUCUAGUUAUUAAAUGUAGUGAAAAGUUGAGUUCCUACAUGACAACAUUUCGUUAUUAAACUCAUAGCAUCUCUGGUAUAAGCAUGUCUUUUGCACUUCUCAUAUGAUGAUUCUGGUUAGACAGGCUGUAAUAUUACAUAAACCGCAUCUUGUGACUUUCAUCCUCAAAUUAUGGCUAGUUUUAGAGGAUUCAAUAAUGUUAUUAUGUGUUAAUAUUUUGUUUCCAUUGCAACA
This is a long non-coding RNA of Phragmites australis (common reed), 1334 nucleotides long. RefSeq lists it as uncharacterized. The record is from RefSeq and is a predicted model, not a curated record. The transcript is spliced from 3 exons. Lineage: Eukaryota; Viridiplantae; Streptophyta; Magnoliopsida; Poales; Poaceae.